GCCACACUGCGGAACUGCCUGGUGUGUCACCAGGCUGGAGUCCGCCUCGCGAUUCUCACCCAGAUCCCUAAGCCACCCCCUCAUGGUCAGUCCAGACCCCCGGGAGUGACCCCGUGGCCUGCUCCUCCUUGGAGACUCCUGAAUGAGGAGGACCAAGGGCGGGUUGUCCUCAGCCCUGGGGGGACUUCCCAUGGUGGAGAAGGUGAGCAGAACGUGCCCCUUCAAAACAGUGGGGACAAGCCCCCAGCCCAUCUGCCCCCCACACCUCCCAGGAGCACAGGGCGCCCUGGAGAGUCUCCACAGAACGUAGGAGCAGCCCGCUGGGUGGACAGGAGGGUCCCACAGCCGCAGAGCUGGGAGCUGAAGGAACGCCAAGAAGCCGGGUGCCUGGUCCCUGCUGAGAGGCUGUCAAGGUGCCCUCAUCUGUGUCUCUGAAUGGGUGAUUUCUGCCACCCUGGGGUGAAGCCAGCUCUGGGGAAAUGCUUCCCACCUGGGCCUUUGUGUGACUGACCUUCAGGAGGGAGGAGGGAUGGUAUCCCGGUCAGCAAGAUUCCCAGUGCCCGUGGGCAAACGCCCUGUCUCAGGAGGCUUCAACCAGGACACCUAUGCUCUUUUGUAACAGGGUGAACAGAGAGGCUGGCUAAUUGAGUGGCUCAACAGUAU
RNAcentral lists this long non-coding RNA (663 nucleotides) under Marmota monax (woodchuck). The record is from RNAcentral. Lineage: Eukaryota; Metazoa; Chordata; Mammalia; Rodentia; Sciuridae.